AUCAUGUAAUUUUUCCGCACGGUGAAACUCAACGCUAUUUAAUAAUCAGCUUGCAAACGUAUCUUUAAUCCCAGACUUCGUAACAUUUUUCAGGAGAGUAAGAGCAUAAGAACCUUCGCAGGGCCAUCAGUUUUAAGCAUUUAAGAAUCUUGAAUCUUCAUUAGAAUAUUGUUUCGCAGAAAAAAGUUGCAAGUUGUGAUUUAGAGGUUAUGGUUACCAUAACUCACGUCAUCAUUGCUCACGUGAUCGUAUUUACAUUUUUGUUUUGUCCGAUUUUGCCAGAUCUUUUUGUAGAGCAAUGACCGAGAUUGUAUUGAUUUUCCAUCUUGUGAUUUUUGAUGCCUUCUUGAAAUAAAGAAGGAUAUUAAACGAAAAAGCUUGCUCUGGUGAACAUUUUUUUCAUAAUUUUUCUACGAAUUCAAAAAGUCUACAUAUCUUAGAAUUUUUUAUACAUAUAAAAUUACAUGUGAAUUCUGAAAUAUUCAUAUUCUGAGAUUUCUCAUCUUUUAAUUUCUGAAAUUUACUUUUAAUUUUUUUAGAUGUUAUAACAUUUCAUCAGAAAUUAUAGAAUAAAAAAUCUUAGAAAGUAUAGGAUACUUAUUCAUAAUUAACAUAAAUGAACAAUUCUGAGAAAAUAUAUAGACUUUGUGAAUAUUUCUAAGAAGUGUUCCAAUUCGUAUAAAAAAAAUCAGAGAAAGUUAUGAAAUUAUACAAAAGUUCUGAAAAAAAAAUUAUAUGAAAAAUUAUGAAAAACAUUUUCACCAAGACGUUAUAAUCGAAAAAAGUAAAAUAAGAAAAACAUUAUGUCUUAUUUGAGACAAGCAAUCUGGUAAUGUUAAAUUACGUCAUGGAAACGCAUAAAAAAAAACAUGUUUAAAUCGGGGAAACGUAUGCCAUCGUAGUUAUUCGCUGCACAGUGUGAAACAUAUUUCGAUGUUAACAAUAUAGAAUAUCAUUAAAAAAAAACUAUUAUUUAUUAGCGAAAAUAUCAGACGGUCGUGCGUUUGCACGAACGUGUUUACGGCUUCCCCCCGCCCAGCAGAUCGUCGUGUAAGUGCAUGAAAAUUCAAUAUCAGUUGCUCUUGAUAUUUUUGCUAUUAAAUAUAGCACUUUUAUAAAAUAUUCUAUACUUUUAACGUCACGACAUGAUGUAUUACACUAUGUGUCAUCACAUAGUGUACUUAUAGCGACCCAUCUUGCAAGCAUAAGUGCGAUGUCACACAUUUUUCCUGAUUUAAACUCGAUUUUUUUCACGUGUUUCCAUCAUAUAUGUGACAUAUUUUGAUUGACGUUAUCGAAUUGCUCAAAAACUAUAAAAAAUAAUUUUAUUUUAUUUUUUCUGUGCACAGCACUUUCUUUACGCCUUAAAUUAGUUAUUUUCAACUAGUAUAAAAUUAAAAAAUUAAUAAUGAUUUUUCAUCUUUUAUUAUAUUUCAUUUUUUAUUAUGUAAUUUUUUUAAGUCACAUUAUUUUCUUAAUAAACGAAGGAUUGCUCUGAUAAUAUUCAAAAUAAAGAUAAACCAGGCGCGUAAUACAAAAGAUUUGAUAUGCUUGAAAAGUCGAAAUGAUGAUACGAUUUGACGUAACAGUCGUUGACAGCGGAUGUUGAAGUAAGUCGAGGAUAAUUUUACAGAACACUUAUUGCAACUUGGAUUCCGACUUGGUGUAAUAUAAGCGAUUUGCGACAUGCGCGCAAACUUAUCGCAAAUUUAUUCAUACAGCGCGAAUGCGAUUCUUAUCGCGAUUAAUAAUUAACACUUACGCUUUCUUGGUGGUGCAAUUAACGGCGUAUG
Solenopsis invicta (red fire ant) is the source of this 1793-nucleotide long non-coding RNA. RefSeq lists it as uncharacterized. The transcript is spliced from 2 exons. The record is from RefSeq and is a predicted model, not a curated record. Lineage: Eukaryota; Metazoa; Arthropoda; Insecta; Hymenoptera; Formicidae.